GCGCCGCAGGCACUGCCAACACGGGACCCGCCGCGGGUCCCCCCGGCCCACGUCGUCCUGUCAACCUCGACUCGGCUUUAGCGGCGCUGCGCAAGGAGAUGGUGGGGUUGCGGCAGCUGGACAUGUCCCUGUUGUGCCAGCUUUGGGGCUUGUACGAGUCAAUCCAGGACUAUAAGCACCUGUGCCAAGACUUGAGCCUGUGCCAGGACCUGUCAUCCUCCCUGCACUCAGACAGCUCCUACCCACCUGAUGCUGGCCUAUCUGAUGACGACGAGCCUCCUGAUGCCAGCCUGCCCCCAGACCCACCGCCCCUCACUGUGCCCCAGACACACAAUGCCCGUGACCAGUGGCUGCAAGACGCCUUCCAUAUCAGCCUCUGAAGAAUUGGGGUGGGGUCGUGGGGGGCACGUACCCAUGAAAAAGGCUCAAAAACACCCCUCAGCAAGUACUCAGACUAUAGUGCCUGCUUUCCCUCAUACCACCUCACUUCACAGGAGGGCAAAGCCUGGGCCCUUCAGAGGCACAACUGCCAACCCUCUCCUGUCUUGGGUUGGCUGCCACUGGGGCAGGCACCUGGGCUACAGCCUCUACCCAGGGCACUGGACCUCCACUUCUCCCACAGCUUGUGUGCACCCCAGCUUGGCCAACCUUCAGGCUGGCAGUGGGGCCCAAAGCAUCUCGCACUCCCCUUGGCAUCUCUGGAGUUGGGAUGAGUGUCUGGUUCCCAUCACCUUUUCACCUAUUGCUGUUGGCAGCUGUAGGCUCAGGAGCAUCCCUCCUCUGGUCCCUGUGUUUCACUACCCUAGACAAGGGCUCCAGGACCCAUUCCUGCACCCCCUCACGGCCAGGAAGGCCAAGGCUCCAUGCUGGAUAUUUAAGUUUAGGAGCCAGCCUCCUGGGCGCAUAGGUAAAUAAAUACUCUCAGUGUUUCUGUGUUCUUACUGCUUUGCUCUGGGGCAGAAAGAUAGCGGUGUUUUGGGCAAGUGCGGCCCCGCGGUGCGCCGGCAGGUGGCGACGGAGACCCUGAGUGGAAAAAUCGCUGGCGGUGGCAGAGUGCAAAUCCUCCCUCCCCCGGGGUUGCGGAGUGUUCCAAGCUGGCCCAGCCUGGUGCUGCGGUUGUGUGACUGCGGCCAAGUCACUUCCCCUCUUGCCGGAGGUCUGAGAACCCACCUCUCACCUCCCCACUCGCUUUGGGCUUUCUUGGCCCGCCGGGGAGGAAGAAGGAGCCGCCCAUCUUGAGAGAAACUUUCCACCGCGAGUGGAGGCGGAGUUGGGGCGGCACAGGAAAUGGGUGGGUCCGAGCCGGCGGGCCAAGGGGGCCCCUCGGCGGGAGAGGGGAAGACGCCUCCAGGAAGGGACUGGGAGCUAAGGAAACCUAGGACCAUACUGCUGGGACCGGGAGCCAAAGCCGGUGUCAGGCCCACCGAAGGAAGCCUGCAUAUUGGGAUGGUGGUUGCUCAGACACACAACACCCCCACAACUUCUGAGACCAGGAGGAGGACCUCGAAGUCGCACACUUAGGCUUUCGGGCUGCUCAUACCCAUGCCCUGCUGCACAGUCACUUGCCUCCUGGAGACAACUCAGCGGGCACUCCUGGCACAUCAGACGUCCUGUUCAAAUCGAGUGUUUAUCAGGCACCAGGCUACCGCCCAUUCACGAACCUUGCAGGGGCUGGCCGGGAGGGAAUCAGCUGAUGUGCUGCCCCAGGACAGUUCUCUAACUCUGGGCCUGACACCUGAGGCUCAUUACCGUGCGAGGCAAAAGGGUAGGCGAUAGAGCUCUAACCUAGGUGUGAACACAGCGGCUACCGCCCAGGGCAAGCUUCCCAGGGGGAGGGAUAGUAAAAACACACACACACUUUCCCAUCCACGAUAACGGCUUCCUGGAGUUUAAUGAGACCUCGCAAAAUCAGCCAGGCUCUGUACUAAAUGAAAGGUUUCCAAGUACAAAUACAAAUUUCCAAGGUUUCAUCCUC
Molecule: RNA transcript, 1975 nt
Organism: Pteropus alecto (black flying fox)
Lineage: Eukaryota; Metazoa; Chordata; Mammalia; Chiroptera; Pteropodidae
Gene: FAM89B
Gene name: family with sequence similarity 89 member B
Exons: 3
Source: RefSeq, a predicted model, not a curated record